Molecule: non-coding RNA, 73 nt
Organism: Araneus ventricosus
Lineage: Eukaryota; Metazoa; Arthropoda; Arachnida; Araneae; Araneidae
Source: the annotation of a GenBank genome assembly
UGGCCCAUGGGGAUCGAAACCCACGACCUUCGCGUUAUUAGCACGACGCGCCAACCAACCGAGCUAAUGGUCC